UCAACCCAUUUAACCUUCUAACCCAUCAAAUUAAAUGAGUUGAUGGGUUGACUCAACUCAUUUAGUAAAAUGAGUUGAGUCAACCCAUCAACUCAUUUAACUCUAAACUCAUUGGGUAAUGGGU
RNAcentral lists this microRNA precursor (124 nucleotides) under Arabidopsis thaliana x Arabidopsis arenosa. Its description in RNAcentral is "MIR405". It matches the Rfam family "MIR405 microRNA precursor family". The record is from RNAcentral. Lineage: Eukaryota; Viridiplantae; Streptophyta; Magnoliopsida; Brassicales; Brassicaceae.